GGUCAAGCACCACCAGGUGGAGUAACAGGCGCCCCCGGACAGAAUACAGGUGACGCAGAACCAGAACUAUCAUCUCAUCCCGAAAGUGGUCAACAACAACCAAAAACUCCUUCCGCAAAGCCUGCAAGUAGUGAGUUUUGUACAACUGGUUAAUUUACAUAUUUAUCAAGAGCGUAAAUUUCAGAAAUGUCUUG
Molecule: long non-coding RNA, 194 nt
Organism: Haliotis rubra (blacklip abalone)
Lineage: Eukaryota; Metazoa; Mollusca; Gastropoda; Lepetellida; Haliotidae
Exons: 3
Source: RefSeq, a predicted model, not a curated record